Molecule: transfer RNA, 67 nt
Filed under: Clavelina oblonga
Lineage: Eukaryota; Metazoa; Chordata; Ascidiacea; Aplousobranchia; Clavelinidae
Description: transfer RNA-Arg
Source: RNAcentral
UCUUUUAUAGUUUAAUUAAAAUAUUUAGCUUCGGUCUAAAAGAAAGGAUUUUUAUUCUUUAAAGUUU